Molecule: non-coding RNA, 2543 nt
Organism: Cicer arietinum (chickpea)
Lineage: Eukaryota; Viridiplantae; Streptophyta; Magnoliopsida; Fabales; Fabaceae
Source: RefSeq, a predicted model, not a curated record
CCAACAAAUUUUAAUCUUACCCACUUCAUGCUUUUCGUUUUUCAACUCUUAUAUUCAAUUAUUUCGAAAUGGGUUUUCUAUUCCUGUUUGUUCUACCAAUUGGGCUACUUGUUCUUCGUGAAUUUUAGUUUGAAAUUAGGGUUUAUGUUGUUGAACUCAAUAAAGGUUUUUUUUUCUUUCUUUGGAUAACUCAAUUAAGGUUAUUGGUUUAAGGGGCGUAUGAAAUUAAGGUUAUGUUGUUGUCUCAAUAAAGGCCAUUUCUCAUUCUAUGUUCAAUUUUUUUUAUUAAGGGGAAUUCUCAGGUGUUCAUUCGGAUUUGGUGCAUUUAUUGUGUUGCAUUUCAACUGUCUGAUCUCAAAUUAAUGACCGAGAUUGUUUGAAGAUGAUUUUGUUAUUGAAUAAUUUGAGCCGUCUGAUCUCAAUUUAAUAGCUGAGAUCAUUUACGGCAUGCUUAUACUAUAACAUGCAAUUCAGAUUCGUGUUGAUAAUUUUGUUGUAUGAAUGCUAAAAGUAAAACUAAAUUUGGAUUCUAAAGUUUGAAUGGUUAGGGGUGGAAGUAGUCUAAGUCCCACUAGAUUUUAGUUAAAUUGAAUUUAAUAGUCCAAACCUAACCUACGGGGCUAGGGCUCAUAAAGCCUUUCUUUCAUUCAAAAAUAGGGCCCUGGUCGGUCACUUUUCCGGGCCGGGAUCGAUAGAUAAGUGGAAGUCAUAAAAAAGAGAUAUUUCUCUUCGCACCUAAGAUCAAGAGGAAGGGUAGCUUGUCAAGCUGGCCUAUAUAAAAUAUAUUAUUCAUUAUUAUAGAAUCUUUUAGACCUGUCAAUAGCUUGAGCCAACAUUUUUGAUAAACUUGCUUUGACCUGUUUGGUUGUUUAAAGGCUUGUUAUUUGACUUACCUCCAAGUAAGUUAAAGGACUAAUAGGUCAAAGAGGAAGACAUUUAUGAAUGAUAACGCCUUUAAAGAGUAAUGAGAGAUUAAGAUAGGAAGAAAGCUCACUGAUUGAGAUUGAUGGAAGAUGAUGAUGACUGAUGAAGACGGGGGUUGAAACGAGAGAGGCUGUUGUAAGGGGCACAGGGAAUGAGUGAUAGUGUUAGGGUUUCUGAAAUGUGAGAGGAUUAAGAUUUCUAAAACUUUUAACCUUUUAAUCCUUUAACCAUCCCGCUCUCUUUUUAAGAAACAACGUUGCAACACGAGUCUUAUUGGGUUGGCCAGGUUCAUGUUCCGACGAAUUUGUUUAAUACAAUCCAAGCUUGCUGGCCACCCGAUCACAUUCGUGCCGUUUACACAUGUUUCCUCUCGGGUUAGUCAGAUUUCAGGCUGGCCUGAUGAAGUGUCCAGCCCUAUAUGCAUUAUGCUGUUGUACUUUUCUCCUAGAAUUUGUACUGCAAAAUAAGAAUGUGUAGCAUUUGGUCCACAAGCACAUUAACUUUACUAUUACUCUUUGAGAAAUUGAAAGCUUUUGACAAACUAAAGAUAUUUUAGAAAAGGUGACUUUGGGAGCUGAUGGCAUGCUAUGUGAAAUAUGGGAAUUGUGUUUGCUGAGAUGGAUAGCAGCUAAAGGCAUUUAGCGCAAUAUGCAUGUAGUUAAAUGUAGAGGGGACAAUGGUCAGAGAAAAAUUUCCUGACAAUAGCUAUGCUUUUAGAAUUAUUUGUAUUUUCUGUUUGUUUUCUUUUAUACCAUGUGAUCAUGAGAGUUCAUGUUAGACAACCGAUUCUAUUUUUUCGUUUAAAAUGUCAAUGGACCAAAAGAAAGAUUUAUAAGGAUUUUGUAAAUUGUGAUAUAACUGCAUUAGCAUUAGCCUGUCUUUUAUAAAUAUAUAAAAUUAGAUCUAGAGAAAGAGACCAUAGUAUGCAUCUUGGACUUGCAUUUCUGCCUGGCCAAUCAUGUGAGGUAUAUAACAUAUGGCCAGUUAGGAGCCUCCUCGGUGAAUUAUAACCCAAGGCAAUUGCAAAUGCCUGACAAAUAUGUAUCCUUUACAAUUUGGUAAGGUUCUAAAACCUCUUCAUGGUACUCCACUGGGCCAUCUUCUAAAGUAACAUUGAACUAACUACUUUGGUCUAGGAUUAUCCAAACCUUGUAAGGAUCACUUUGGUGUUGGUCAUAUAAUAUCCCUAGUUGAUGCAGGAUCUUGACACAUCCCUUCACGCGUUGGACUGAACACUUAGAGCAUGGACAACAACAGGUGGCCCCAGUAAUGUAUCUAGGAUAGGCUCACAAACUAGCUUAAGAGAUUAAAAGGCAGAUACGUUCAGCAGAGAGCAGUGUGAAAGAAUAUUUUUUUGGAUCAAAGACAGAAUCUCACGAAAUAGACAGCAACAAGGAUCAUCCAUAAAUUCAUGGUCAAUCUUGUACAUGAAAAUUAUUCUGAGUUAAGAUUUUCUUUUAGCCUUGUGAAUGUCUUCAGUUCACAAUAUAAAGGAACGGUUCAAUAGACUAGAGGCCGAGAAUUUGUAAACGGUAUUAACUAUCAUAAUUGACUUUCCACCACUACCAAUGUCAUCAAUCAGACAAUAAUAUCAUAAUCACGUUUUAUGGUGCAUCCCA